GAAAGAGAUUAAGAGGAUUCCAGAUGAGAAAGAAAAUUUCUUUACCCCAAAAAAAUGCAAAUUUUUGAAGCGAAUUUUUAUUUCGUUUUCUUUUCAGUUAGCGGAACAGUAUUUCACACAAGAAAUUAUGAUAUGGAGGAGAAUCGAGAAAUACUUACUUCAGGUAACCAUUGUUACCGCAAUAAUAUUUUGCCAUAGGUUCUUUCUUCGGCAAUCUCAUGCAAAGAAUGACCGAAGGGUAGAAUCAUGAUUGGAUUGUAUGGGCAGAUUGUACCGAAAACUGUAGGUAUUGGAGCUUGGGAUAGUGGUACAUUCGGUAAUUAUAGGAAUAGGUUUGGGUGUUUCCGAAACUCCAAAGACAAUAAGACCCCUUGUCACCGCCAUCACUUUUCAUCAGUUAUUCGAAGGCAUGGGCCUUGAAGGUUGCAUUGCUCAGAAACAAGCAGCUGAUGGAGGAUUUCAAGGUUGACCUAACAAGCCUGCUGACACUUGUUACGCAUUUUGUGUGGUUUUUGGGGAAGUUUCUGUAUGGCUAUCAAGGAG
Long non-coding RNA from Cucumis melo (muskmelon), 543 nucleotides. RefSeq lists it as uncharacterized. The transcript is spliced from 6 exons. NCBI's taxonomy places the organism in Eukaryota, Viridiplantae, Streptophyta, Magnoliopsida, Cucurbitales, Cucurbitaceae. The record is from RefSeq and is a predicted model, not a curated record.